GGCGCAACCCUUGUCCUUAGUUACCAGCACGUUAUGGUGGGCACUCUAAGGAGACUGCCGGUGACAAACCGGAGGAAGGUGGGGAUGACGUCAAGUCAUCAUGGCCCUUACGGCCUGGGCUACACACGUGCUACAAUGGUCGGUACAAAGGGUUGCCAAGCCGCGAGGUGGAGCUAAUCCCAUAAAACCGAUCGUAGUCCGGAUCGCAGUCUGCAACUCGACUGCGUGAAGUCGGAAUCGCUAGUAAUCGUGAAUCAGAAUGUCACGGUGAAUACGUUCCCGGGCCUU
This 288-nucleotide ribosomal RNA is filed under the name uncultured Pseudomonas sp. Its description in RNAcentral is "partial 16S ribosomal RNA". It matches the Rfam family "Bacterial small subunit ribosomal RNA", at positions 1095 to 1382 of the family's 1533-position model. Lineage: Bacteria; Pseudomonadati; Pseudomonadota; Gammaproteobacteria; Pseudomonadales; Pseudomonadaceae. The record is from RNAcentral.